AAACAGUUGCUGUGGGGAUUGAAUGACUAGUGCAUGUGAAGCUGCCAGUGUGGUGCCUGCCUCGGGGUUCAUCAAAAACAGGAAGUCAAAGGUCUGAAUACUCUUCCUGUGAAUCAACAGAGAAAGCUUUCUCAUCUGAGCCCAUGAAUACGCAGCCUAGGGCCACUGACUUGUAAGAAUGGAGAGUUGCAAGCUGGACCCUGGGGUAUCAGACAGGCAGAAUCCCUUGCAGCUAGAGUCAUGGAAGCGAAGAAGUUUCCACAAUUAGAUGUGCCUAUGCAAGAUUUGAAAAGAGGAAAUGUGACAAAAGGGCAGAGUUCUGCAGCUUUGACUACUUUUGCUGGCAUGCAAGGUCUUGAAGAUGCUGUGCUUUCCUGCAGCCAAAUUCUACUGUAUAGCCACAAGCUUCAUGAAAACCUUUGGAGUCAUUUUCUUUGGAGCGGGAGUUGGGAUGGUUUGCUGCAGACACCCAGAUGUUUGAUGCUAUGUCCUUUUAUCUUCACCUGCAUGAGGCCGCUUGAUAUUGAUCUCACUGCAGUCCUCACUACAUAGCUCAUUGGAGUCCACACCAUGGCUUCGUACGAGUGUGCACAUGCAGUCAAAGGCACCCUUAAUGCCUGCUGCUCUGCGUCCUUCGAUGUCUCCUGCUCAGCAGUCCAGCUAUUACAAGAGGCACAGAGCUGAGCAUAUUGCUUCAGACCCAGAAGAAUCUCCUCCAUCCCAAUUGGGUACAAUUGUGAAGGAAAUGUGUUGGAGGAAGUCACCUUCUGUGAGCUGCUUAUCCAUCAAGUUGCACUCUGUGUGGGUGUGUAUCCUUCCUAUCUUGGCUGUCUUAGGUCUCCAUAUCCUAGGCAGUAGCCGGGUCAGUAUUCCUUACCAUGCACAUUUGGGCAAUAGAGGUACUGGACAAUAUAGGUAAAUUCACAACCAAUUCUUUCCCUGCAUUUUCUCCAAAUCUGUGGACCAAAUCCUACUUACCCAUGGCCCUACAAAGUUGUCUUUCCUAUCAACACUAACACACCACACCUUGUUUCUCCUAACCUUCCCAGAAUUCCUUGAAGGCUUUCUGAUAUUUGAGGCUUGACAAAAUUUAUUCAUGCAUUGAUUAAGCAGCUAGGAUUUAUUAACCACUGUGAAACAGAAAUUUUGCCAGGCAAUGAAGAUAUUUAGUUGAGUAAGACAGUGCUUCUGUAUUCAAGAAGUCUACCUGUGACCUAUUUUAACUGUAUGUUUCCCUGAAUUUGGGGCAUUCGAAUGGUAUGUACUAAAUGUCUUAUUGGAUGGUUCAUCCUGGAGGAGCGGCUAAUGGAGGCUGGAGUCAAGCUAGGUGUCUGGGCUCAUGUCUACCUUCUUCUGAGUAUCAGAGGGCAGACUCUGAUGUUCUCAGAGAUAGAUGUUCUCAUAGUCUUCGGCUGGAGGAAAUGCCCUUGUUCAUGCCAUCUGUUGACCUGUAGCUACCAUGUAGACCUCUCUGAGGGCCUGUGGCUCAUCAGGAGAUCCGAUGGACACCUGAAUCUCAGAAAAACUGACCUAUGGCACUGUUGUGAUGCACAGGUAUAGGCACAUCUCAAAACAUACCCGUAAAUGUCCCAAGUUUGAAUAUUUUCAAAAUUAUAAGCUUGUAUAUAGCUUAUAUAUUUGCAUUGUAAUCCAUUUGUACAGUACCUAAUUCAAUGCGAGCAAUUACUAAUUUGGAAAUUGUACUGAUAUAAAUAAUUCCUCUCUUUAUUGCAUGUAACACUGUGUCAGUGAUAUAAAAGCUAUGUGUGUAUAUAUAUACAUAUAUAUAAUAUACAGAUGUAUUGAAAUAACUUUUCUAUUUGUAAACAUAAUGGAAUUACUGUAGAAUAUCACCCUCAAGGGAAGGAAGAAAUACAUGUGAGCACUUUCAGGGUAGUUUGCCUGCAUCUGAGCAGUUGUAGAUACUUUGGUGGUAUAACUGGUGAUGAAGAAGAAGGAGGGAAGUUGCAGAGGAAAGAAGCUUGGAGAUGUUUGGGAUAGCUUUUUUAAUUUUCACUGGAGUCGAUUGUGCUAGGGCUUGGUUUUGAGGAUCUGUGGGUAAAUGCUGAGAGGGGUGGGUGCAGUUGCCUAGGCACAAAUAUCUGAAUAGAGCAGAUAUGGAUGAGUGGUUCAGGGGAGGAAAUAUUAUCUGCCUUCUUUUCAUUCUGCUUCAUGCUAGGCAGGGCAAUGAUGAUUGGUUUUCAUUCAGCUUGUGCUCCAAGAGUACCUCAGAAAAUGGGGAGCCAUUUUUCCCCAGUUUUGGUUUUUAGAGGUUUAUAUCCCCAACUGGCUAUGGUUGGCUGGCAGCCUUUAGCUUCAGUGUAGCCACACAUGAUUUCACGUCGUCUGUACAUUCUUCGGCAGGAACCUGCUCCUUUUACUUCCAGUGGACACAGAGCACUUCAGCUAUGGGCAUCCAUAACUACUUCCUCCUGGAUCUGAGGCUUUCUUGGCUCUGAGAGCUUCCUGGGUUUGCUGACCUCACCCCUGUGAGGAGGAGGAUUGGCCCGGCUGCUGAAAACAUACGUGUAAUUGAAGGAAUUCUAUUAAG
Molecule: long non-coding RNA, 2551 nt
Organism: Homo sapiens (human)
Lineage: Eukaryota; Metazoa; Chordata; Mammalia; Primates; Hominidae
Product: long intergenic non-protein coding RNA 598
Source: Ensembl